AGAAGAAAUUGGAGAAGCGUUCACGAUGAACCGCGAUCGCAUUGCCAACUGCAGCUGCAGGAGGGUGUGCUCCGCGGCUUCUCGUAGGAUUUUGCGCAGCUGCAAGUGGCUGAAAAACGAGACGGAGGGCGAGCGAUCAGGGGUGGGGGCGUGCGUGAUGCGAUGAAAUAAGAAUCAACGAUGAAAAACACCACAGUAUCGCGGCGAGGCAACCGCGAAGUGUUUCACCCCUUAACGUUCGUAUCUUUUCCCUUUUCUCUUUAUCCGAUCGUUGCAGAAUCAUCAGUUUUCUGCUUCCCAUGGAUUUGUCCCUUGCUGCUAUACAGGAUGUUCCAAAAUUCCUAACUAGGCUUCUUCGGCCACCAAGGAAAUCCAUGAAUCUUUCCCCACACCACGUCACCAACGUCCAUUCUUCUACCGUUAGCAGUGAGGCAAUGUUCGACAGGCGUCGCGGCAAGGCGCAUCAUCAAUGGAUGAGACUGCGGUGGAAAGUCCGGAGCAGUUUCGCCGGCAUCGACUUCAGGUUCCUGUUCACUUAGUUCAUCACUGCUUGCACCAGGACUUUUGCAACCCAACGAAGAAUUACUCACAGGAUAAUCACAUCUAGCGUAAGCGUUUGUAUUCAAUCUCUUCAGAGAUAUGGAUAGUUUUUGCUUCAGGCACUGCUCCUUUAUGGCUGUGUACGAUUCGCUGCCCGGAAGGACGUUCCAAUUCUGCUGAUUCUCGGUACUUCCGGAUUCCAAACAAGGCUGCUGAUGCUGCGACUGUUGGCUCUUGUGUUUACGGUCUUCCUUGUGUUUCUUUUUAUGCUUCACUUUAUGUUUGCGACGGUGAUACGAUAAUGUGUCGUACGUGGGAUUGUAACUGUAAGAAAAAUAAAUCAUAAUUAGUGUCAUAUACAUAUAUCUGUAUCAUAAAUCCAAAAUACGGUAGUUACGAAAAGUAUUUGAUCGCUAUUGUAUUUAUUAUACCGUUUACACGCUAAUUAAUUAGGUCCAAAUAGUAUAUUCGUAUCGUUUAGUGGUACUUUCGUAGUGAUACUAUGAAAAUGAAAUGUAGAACCCCAUAAGAGAGCGCUUCAUUAAAAAAUAAGAAUAUGUGCAAAUACUUUUUCUGUAACCACUAUAUAGAUGCACUGAUAACUAAUAUCUUAAAACGGUUAUUUUACCGUGGAGAUCCAUUGCAAGGAGAUCUCGCAGGCGAAACUCCACCGAGCAUUUUCCUCCUGGCCUCUUUUUUAGCCUUCUUUAGUGCACGUUUCGCAGCCUUAGCACUGGCGUCCUUCACACCCUGUUUCUGAGGAUCUACUUGCUCCUGUCCAUCUUCCUCUCCAUCCUCACGAUAAUCAUAAUCGUUGUCAAAAUUCCUGGGCAAUUCCAACGGAUCUCUCUCCGUUUCUGUCUGCACCUCCUCGGCUUCGUCAGUUUCCUGCUCGUACUCCGGAUCCUGAAUCUUGGAAGGUAUUUUCAAGACAGUUCCUUCACCCUGAGCACCGAAAGAGAUCUUAAUCACUGGUGUGGUUCUAGCUGUCCUUGUCG
RNAcentral lists this unclassified non-coding RNA (1538 nucleotides) under Bombus terrestris (buff-tailed bumblebee). RNAcentral describes it as "misc RNA ENSBTSG00005036781.1". The record is from RNAcentral. Lineage: Eukaryota; Metazoa; Arthropoda; Insecta; Hymenoptera; Apidae.